This 369-nucleotide ribosomal RNA is filed under the name uncultured organism. RNAcentral describes it as "bacterial SSU rRNA". It matches the Rfam family "Bacterial small subunit ribosomal RNA", at positions 526 to 896 of the family's 1533-position model. The record is from RNAcentral.
CGGAGGGUGCAAGCGUUAUCCGGAUUUACUGGGUUUAAAGGGUGUGUAGGCGGACUUUUAAGUCAGCGGUGAAAUCUCCGGGCUCAACCCGGAAACUGCCAUUGAUACUAUUGGUCUUGAGUGUUGUUGAGGUGGGCGGAACGGGUCAUGUAGCGGUGAAAUGCAUAGAUAUGACCCGGAACACCGAUUGCGUAGGCAGCCCACUAAGCAACGAUUGACGCUGAGGCACGAAAGCGUGGGGAUCAAACAGGAUUAGAUACCCUGGUAGUCCACGCCCUAAACGAUGAUUACUCGACGUUGGCGAUACACUGAUCAGCGUCCAAGCGAAAGCAUUAAGUAAUCCACCUGGGAAGUACGUUCGCAAGAAUG